RNAcentral lists this transfer RNA (67 nucleotides) under Styracaster yapensis. RNAcentral describes it as "tRNA-Ser". The record is from RNAcentral. Lineage: Eukaryota; Metazoa; Echinodermata; Asteroidea; Paxillosida; Porcellanasteridae.
GAAACUUAUCGGUUAUUUUAGUCCUGCUAAGUCCUUAAAUCUGUAGUUCAACUCUAUAGAAGUUUCG